GAAAUAAGAAAUUCAAGAAUAAGCUUCUAACUUAAUUCUUUAGCGAUGAAAUUCGUUAUUAUUUCU
Molecule: transfer RNA, 66 nt
Filed under: Staphylinoidea sp. 9 KM-2017
Lineage: Eukaryota; Metazoa; Arthropoda; Insecta; Coleoptera
Description: tRNA-Ser
Source: RNAcentral